AAAAAAAAGGGGCAAAACGAGCACUAUCAUCAGAUAAUCAUCAGAUAAUAUCGAACUUGAGUUGACUAAACUAUCUACUCAGCGCCACCACUGUCAUCAGAUGAUCAUUAUCCUAUUCUCAAACCUUACAAAAACCUUCCACUGGUUUCAGCAAUUUAUCUAAUCUUUCCCAAUUCCCAAACCCUCCAUGAAUUCUCAUCAUUAUCACCCAUCAAUUUACUACUAGUUUACUGCAAUUUGAAGCCUGUGUUGUUCAUCUUGCCUUUGCUUUGCUUUGCUGGGCAUAUCUCACAGUGAUUACACAAGGGUAGGAGCCAAAAUUUGUGAGCAAAUUACACUUUUCUUGAAACUAGUCAUUUGUUUUUCAUUCAAAAUCAUGGCGAGCGACGCUUCUAAAAGUAUCACUUUGAAGAUCCUUGUGGAGAAAGAGAAAAACCGAGUUGUUUUUGCUGAGUCAAAUAAGGAUUUUGUUGACGUUAUAUUCAGCUUCAUGACAUUACCUAUUGGAACUAUUGUUGAGCUCAUUCAUGAGCACUUAUUAAAGGGGGAGAUUGGUUGCUUGAACAACUUAUAUGAAAGUGUAGAAAAUCUUGAUGAGGAAUAUCUAAUAAGUGAGCACAAGGAGAUACUACUUCAUCCUCGAAGUGCAGCUGAAAUAUACCAUAGGAACCUAAAAAUAAAUUUGAUUGAAAGCAAUAGCAGGAGCAAAUAUUAUGUUUGUUUCGAUGCUGAUUGUAGUUUUCUCAGCUAUUACCAAACUUCAUGUUGCCGCUGUGGAAACCCCUUAGAACUUGAGGUAAAUCUGUCAAAUCCGGUUUCUCAAGAUGGAGGGGUGUUUGUAAAACCAACUGCCCGCUUUAUGAUAACGGAUGACUUUAAAGUAUUGCCUCUGUCCACCAUGGCUGGCUUAUCUUUGCUUAGCAAUUUCAGAACAAUGGAUGAUAGCAAACUAGAGGAGAGAACUGUGAACAUAGGAAAGAAUGAGGUUCUGAAAUUGCUGAAGUGUUCAUUAACAUCAAGGACACCCCUGUCUGACACCAUUAUGGAACCACCCAUCAGUAAGACUAGUUUCACGUUUCGCCGUGGAAAAUAUGGACCGAGGAGUACAUGUCGAUCUCAAAAAGUUAAGGACACCAAAAAUGUGGAUACAAAGACAAACUUGAAGCUUAUCAUCAACAAAUCUAACAAUAGAGCAUUGUAUGCAGAAGUUGAAGAAAAUUUUGUUGAUGUCCUAUGUAGUUUCCUUGCAUUUCCAAUCGGGUAUGUCUUUAAAGAGUUCUCGUCUUUGUCCUUCAAGGGAUGCAUGGGUAACUUAUUCAAGAGCAUCCAAGAUACCAACAUCAAUAAGUUCUUCAAAUCUGAGGAGAUGAAGGACAUUGUAGUCAAUCCAAAAGUAGCCCCUGGUCUUGCUUGUGGCAACAAACUAAUUGGCAUUGAGGAAGCUGUAAACCCAUCAUUCUCAACUCUUUCUUCCUUGUUUACAACGAAAUGCUCUGAUUUGAAUUCAAACUCCCUUAUCGGGGAAGUAAAAAUUGGCGGUGGAUUUAUGAAAGGGCCAUCCAUGUUCAUGGUGACAGAUAAUUUGUCCAUAACACCUUUAUCUCCUAUCUCAGGUAUAUCUCUUAUCAACAAAUUAAAGGUACCCCUCAGUGAUGUUGAGGAAUUGGAGGUGACCAUGGGUGAGGAGGAGGUAAAUGAACUACUGUCAAGUUAUUUCUAGGGCUUUGCGUCUAUUGGUAGCUUCUUUGGUAUCAAGAUCAGCUUUGACAGAUGCUUUCAUGAUUAAGGAGACAAAGCAAGAGCCAUUAGGAAAUGAUCCUUGCAUGAUGUGAGUUUUGUGAAAGCUUGGAGCAUGUUUGAAAACCCAAGUUACUGUGUGUUGUUGUGACCUUGUAUAUGUGUAAUGGAUGUAAUCUUGUUUUACAUCUUUGAUGAUCACUGUUGUUUAUUUGAGGUCCAAGGAUGUUAAGACUUGUUGUGUUUAUGUAUCUAAUGUGGUGCCAUAAAUAUUUGUAUAUAUUUGCUCUGAUGGAGGUUUGUGAUUGGACAAUUUGUAUUUCUUUUAUUAUAUAAUUAUGACUAUUGCCCACAGCUCAA
This is a non-coding RNA of Camellia sinensis, 2097 nucleotides long. The record is from RefSeq and is a predicted model, not a curated record. NCBI's taxonomy places the organism in Eukaryota, Viridiplantae, Streptophyta, Magnoliopsida, Ericales, Theaceae.